GAUGAACGCUAGCAGAAUGCUUAACACAUGCAAGUCGAACGAACCUUCGUUUUGAAUUGAUUUCUUCCUCGGAAGAGUGAUAUGAUAGACAUUUAGGUUAGUGGCAAACGGGCGAGUAACACGUAUCUAAUCUGCCCCGAAGUGGAGUAUAACUGGAGAAAUCCCGCUAAUACGCCAUGUGAUGAUAGAAAUGAAAAUACUAUCAUUAAAGAUUUAUCGCUUCGGGAGGAGGAUGCGGCCUAUUAGGUAGUUGGUUGAGGUAAUGGCUCACCAAGCCGAUGAUGGGUAACCGAUCUGAGAGGAUGACCGGUCGCAAUGGGACUGAGACACGGCCCAUACUCCUACGGGAGGCAGCAGUGGGGAAUCGGGGACAAUGGAGGAAACUCUGAUCCUGCAAUUCUGCGUGGAGGACGACGCCUUACGGGGUGUAAACUCCUUUUCUGGUGGAAGACGACUGACUGUACACCAGGAAUAAGGGACGGCUAACUACGUGCCAGCAGCCGCGGUAAUACGUAGGUCCCAAGCGUUAUCCGGAUUUACUGGGCGUAAAGCGUCUGUAGCUGGUUAUAUCAGUCUGUUUUCAAAGCCCACGACUCAAUCGUGGAUCGGGAAUGGAUACUGUAUGACUGGAGGUACCGAGGGGUAGAUGGAAUUUCCUGUGGAGCGGUGGAAUGCGUUGAUAUAGGAAGGAACGCCAAAAGCGAAGGCAGUCUACUAUUGGAUACCUGACAGUGAGAGACGAAAGUAUGGGUAGCAAACGGGAUUAGAUACCCCGGUAGUCCAUACCGUAAAUGAUGCUUGCUAGGUGUUUCGACAUUUGUUAUAUUGUAUAGUAGUAUACUAUAACAAAUGUCGGAGUACCGUAAGUUAACACGUUAAGCAAGCCGCCUGAGUAGUAUAGUCGCAAGACCGAAACUCAAAGGGAUAGGCGGGGGAACACACAAGCAGUGGAUUGUCUAGAUUAAUUGGAUAAUAAGCCAAAAAUCUCACCUAGGCUUGACAUCCUAAGAAAAGUUUUGUAAUGAAACCGUGCCUUCGGGAACUUAGUGACAGGCGCUGCACGGUCGUCGUCAGCUCGUGCCGCAAGGUGUCCAGUUAAGUCUGGUAACGAGCGCAACCCUUGUCGUAUGUUAGAAUGUCAUACGAGACUGCCUGGGCAACCAGGAGGAAGGAGAGGAUGACGUCAGAUCAUCAUGGCCCUUAUGCCUAGGGCUUCAUAGACAAUACAAUGGGUAGUACAAUGGGAAGCGAAGUCGUGAGGCUGAGCAAAUCUCGAAAGCUAUCCUCAGUUCGGAUUGUAGUCUGGAACUCGACUACAUGAAGUUGGAAUUGCUAGUAAUGGUGGAUCAGAAUGCCACCGUGAAUAUGUCCCUGUUCCU
This 1379-nucleotide ribosomal RNA is filed under the name uncultured bacterium. RNAcentral describes it as "bacterial SSU rRNA". It matches the Rfam family "Bacterial small subunit ribosomal RNA", at positions 28 to 1381 of the family's 1533-position model. The record is from RNAcentral.